Molecule: long non-coding RNA, 2806 nt
Organism: Mesocricetus auratus (golden hamster)
Lineage: Eukaryota; Metazoa; Chordata; Mammalia; Rodentia; Cricetidae
Exons: 5
Source: RefSeq, a predicted model, not a curated record
CGGAAUCACAGUCUCCUAAAAUUCAGUGAGAGAGGCUGACCCUGCUUUGGACAGCACCACCAAGCCUCGGAGGGAGGAGGGGCAGCCUAGUCUACUGCCAGGCUGCCCAGGCGGGAAAUAUGCCAUGACUGCUGUGCUGGAAGAAGCCCAGAUUAUGACGUAACCCUCCCCAAACAGACCAGAGAGCUGUGUGUCACCUCCACCUACCGACAUGGCCUGCAGAGAGCUGUGUGUAACCCCCACCUACUGACAUGACCUGCAGGCUCCUGUUUCUCAUAGCGAAGCUGUCCGUUGGGCCAAGCGCUGAAGAUCUCCAGAGAGGACUUCCCUCUUCCCUGCCUGCCACUGUGGGAGAGGACAUGCGGAAGCCAGCAGCUGGGCGCUCGCUCAUAGCAGACAUGGGUGGCAUCAACAGUGUAGUGGCCUGUGGGCUCCUGUGCUAGGAGGAACUCAGACUAUAAAAGCAAAACUAAACCACAUUUCAGAGUGUGGCAGCGUGUGUGUGUGUGUCCUUUAGCAAAAUUCCUGAAGUCACGUUACAUCGCCUUCCUUCUCUGUUCUACUCCCAAAGGAAAAGUCUGUGUCUCAGCAUGCUACCUCUGGUCUGGAAAACUCAGCAGCUCCCCAGGAUAGGGCCCGGCAGGACCUGGCAGCGUCUGGGUAAUAGGAUGCAAAUGAAACCUUCCAGACACAGCUGGGAGCUGGAGGGGGUGGGGCAGUAUCUGAUGGAAGACGGGAAUCCUGGUGAAGACAGCCCAGGCCUCCAUCAGACCUGCUCUAGUCUUGCUUGCUUGCUCUCCCCGCUAAGCCCUCGGAGCUGGGGAGAGGCCUCUAGGUGGAGCCAAGCACCCUGGCCACAUGGCUGGACAGGGGUUGGGAUCCUUGGGAUCCCAGGGCAGGGCGGGACACUGGGGAUUUCAGCUGGGAAAAGAGGAGUACAGUAGAUGCCGGAGAUAAGGAAGAAAUGUCCUAGCCGACCUCCCAAGUUCAAAGGGCAGCUGGGUGUGGUCCCAGCCAUUGAAUGAGGUGGAUGGGUCUGUCCACACCUGCCAGGCUCACUGAGCAGGGGUUACCUUGAUUUUAUAAGACAUCACACACCAUGAGCUAAAAGAUCAGGGUCUAAACUCCUUCUUUAUUGAUACCAAGGACAGUCAAACCCUAGCUCCAGCCAGGCUCCUCGAGACUUCCCUUCCUUCCUCAUCAGGGAUGCCUGGUUGCUUCAGUCCAAUCUGAAGCAUCAGCAUCGACAUCAGGCUUUGGUCCAGGAGGCAGCCAGGGAGACCAGGGCCCAUCCAGGGAAAGCCUGGGAAGUAACCUGUGGAGGGAGACAGGUGGUCAGGGGAUUAGGAGUGACCAUUAGAGUGCACACACUCAUAUGGCUAGGGAACAGGAAGGGUGCUUUAGGAUCCCAGCCGAGGGUGGAAUGCUCACCAAUCCUGUAGGGCCUGAGUGUUCCACCAUAGCAAGCAGAGCUGGUCCUCUGAAGGCUUGGGCCGGGCCAGGCUGCUCUCUGGGAUACUUUCUGUGUCCUGUUCACUGCCCCCCACCCCAGUGCAAAUUAGAAUUAGUGGUAGUAUUGGGAAGUGGCAGGUUGCUGAUAGGGGACCAUGCCAGGCCUGUCCCAUACCAGCAAGUCUGGAGAGUUCUACCUAGACGGCUCACCUGCGCUUCCCCACCAGACCCUGCAGCAGGCGCUGCAGCCUGGCGCUGUCCUGCAGGCGGCUGAGCUCGCUGGUGAACGUCCCGUCUGAGUGUCUCGGGAUCCUGAGUAGGGGCGGGGCGAGGAGGGUCAGAGUACGACCAUGUGGACCUGUGGGCGUGGCCGUGGUGAAGUGGAGUCCCCCAACCCAGCUCACCUGGGGGGCGCUGGGAGCGCGGCGGAGCCCACGAGCAGCAACAGCAGCAGUAGUAGCGGCGGUGUGGGCAGUGGAGGCGCCAUGGUCGGGCUCUGUAGGUGCAACUGCAGCCUGAGCCCCGCGCCCCCUGCUUUAUAGCUACCCCUGAGGCAGGGGGGGGCUCCGGCACCGCCCCGGCUCCGCGCGGCCGGCCGCGCCCCAUCGAUUGCGUGAAGGUCAGGGCCGCCCCCCCAGCUGUCGUCCGGCCACCUCCCGUCCCCACCGCCGCGUUGGCGCCCCUCAGCUGGCUGGGCGUGGGGAGUAGAGGGGGUAAUGCUACCAGGUAGCGAAAUGGACACCACCAUCUGGGACCAGGGGCAGGGAGCAGGGUACGGAGGUUCAGGACAGGCUGAGUGAACCGCACUGCCAGGCCUCUCGAGCCUCAGUUCAUAUUGGGGCCUAACCUAGGCCUAGACCCUGGAGCACUCUUCCCCGGAAGGGGCUGUAGGUGUCUUAAGAAGCCUAGGAGAGGCCAGAGUCCUAGCACCCUGGAGGAGCCAGGGGAGACAGAUGCAGUGAAUCGCCUGUAAGGUCAGCCCAGCAUCCGAAGCAAAAAUGGGAAUCCUCUUAGACCCCCGAAGUUGCAUUUUUGGGUGGGAGAAAACGGCCUAUUCAUGUUGGAAGCAGAAAGCAGAGAUGGGUUAGAAAAAGAGAAAAGCAGGCCAUGGAGACUAUAGGGGAGUGGGGAAGGAGGAGUUAUGAAUGGGGAUUGAUGACAAAUAGUCUUGCAAAACAUCUUCAUCCCUGGAGUCCGGAACUUUAGUGGUAGAACACUUAUCUAGCAUGCAUCAGGACCUGAGUUCCACCCAGCACUGAAACCCAAACCAGAGAGACAAUCCUUAAAAUCAAAUUACAAACCUAACAAACAGUUAUGAACUAGCUCUUGAGUAAAAUCAUGUGUUUUUUUCUUA